CGUUCCCGGGCCUUGUACACACUGCCCGUCACACCAUGGGAGUUGGUUUUACCUUAAGCCGGUGAGUUAACCCGUAAGGGAGACAGCCAACCACGGUAGGGUCAGCGACUGGGGUG
RNAcentral lists this ribosomal RNA (116 nucleotides) under uncultured bacterium. RNAcentral's name for it is "partial 16S ribosomal RNA". It matches the Rfam family "Bacterial small subunit ribosomal RNA", at positions 1369 to 1482 of the family's 1533-position model. The record is from RNAcentral.